CGGGCAGGCCAGACGAUCGCCCCUCGACUCCGCCGCAAGCGGUGUCGCUCGGGGAGGAAAGUCCGGACUCCAGAGAGCGGCGUGCUGGAUAAUAUCCAGUCAGAGUACAAUCUGAAGGAAAGUGGCACAGAAAUUACACAGCCCACCCUAUCCCCAAAGGAUAGGAGGCGAUAGGUGAAACUGGGAGGUAAGAGCUCCCACACGUCAGCCAGGCAACUGGCGGUGCGCUAAACCCCACGCGGAGCAAGACCAAAUAGGNNNNNNNNNNNNNNNNNAUCCCAGAUAGAUGAUCGUCGUUCUUCGAAGCUCUGGUUUAUCGGAGCGUAGAAGAAACAGAAUCCGGCUUAUCGGCCUGCCCCCACA
RNAcentral lists this RNase P RNA (363 nucleotides) under candidate division WOR-1 bacterium RIFCSPHIGHO2_02_FULL_45_12. RNAcentral's name for it is "RNase P RNA component class A". It matches the Rfam family "Bacterial RNase P class A". Rfam says of the family: Ribonuclease P (RNase P) is a ubiquitous endoribonuclease, found in archaea, bacteria and eukarya as well as chloroplasts and mitochondria. Lineage: Bacteria; Bacillati. The record is from RNAcentral.